GACUGGAUGCCGAGGAUGUUCUUUUUGUGUUGGAAAUGUCCUGCAAGUGGUUGGACGUCCCAUAUGACGAAUGCUAGUCUCAUCUAAUUUUUUGAUGGCCCAGAACUCCAAACACCGCCUUUGGUAAAGUGAGUUAUUGUUAUGGAGCAUGCCUCACAACAUUUUGGCCUUUCAUCAACAGGCUCGCGCUCGCUCACAUCUGCUCGUCAAGCAAUGUCCUAGAAUGAAGGAGACAAGAGUAAAGGAGUGCCCCAGUCCACCUUUAUGGUAUGAGCGAUGAAUAUUUGCCCGUGUGGGCUGAA
This 302-nucleotide small RNA is filed under the name Histoplasma capsulatum. Its description in RNAcentral is "hypothetical RNA". RNAcentral also lists the same sequence under 1 other name. The record is from RNAcentral. Lineage: Eukaryota; Fungi; Ascomycota; Eurotiomycetes; Onygenales; Ajellomycetaceae.